AACAGGAUUAGAUACCCUGGUAGUCCACGCCGUAAACGAUGUCUACUUGGAGGUUGUGCCCUUGAGGCGUGGCUUCCGGAGCUAACGCGUUAAGUAGACCGCCUGGGGAGUACGGCCGCAAGGUUAAAACUCAAAUGAAUUGACGGGGGCCCGCACAAGCGGUGGAGCAUGUGGUUUAAUUCGAUGCAACGCGAAGAACCUUACCUGGUCUUGACAUCCACAGAAGAAUCCAGAGAUGGAUUUGUGCCUUCGGGAACUGUGAGACAGGUGCUGCAUGGCUGUCGUCAGCUCGUGUUGUGAAAUGUUGGGUUAAGUCCCGCAACGAGCGCAACCCUUAUCCUUUGUUGCCAGCGAUUAGGUCGGGAACUCAAAGGAGACUGCCAGUGAUAAACUGGAGGAAGGUGGGGAUGACGUCAAGUCAUCAUGGCCCUUACGACCAGGGCUACACACGUGCUACAAUGGCGCAUACAAAGAGAAGCGACCUCGCGAGAGCAAGCGGACCUCAUAAAGUGCGUCGUAGUCCGGAUUGGAGUCUGCAACUCAACUCCAUGAAGUCGGAAUCGCUAGUAAUCGUGGAUCAGAAUGCCACGGUGAAUACGUUCCCGGGCCUUGUACACACCGCCCGUCACACCAUGGGAGUGGGUUGCAAAAGAAGUAGGUAGCUUAACCUUCGGGAGGGCGCUUACCACUUUGUGAUUCAUGACUGGGGUGAAGUCGUAACAAGGUAACC
Molecule: ribosomal RNA, 730 nt
Filed under: uncultured bacterium
Lineage: Bacteria
Description: bacterial SSU rRNA
Rfam family: Bacterial small subunit ribosomal RNA
Source: RNAcentral